Molecule: ribosomal RNA, 1384 nt
Filed under: Staphylococcus argenteus
Lineage: Bacteria; Bacillati; Bacillota; Bacilli; Caryophanales; Staphylococcaceae
Description: bacterial LSU rRNA
Rfam family: Bacterial large subunit ribosomal RNA
Source: RNAcentral
AAUCCGGUACUCAUUAAGGCUGAGCUGUGAUGGGGAGAAGACAUUGUGUCUUCGAGUCGUUGAUUUCACACUGCCGAGAAAAGCCUCUAGAUAGAAAAUAGGUGCCCGUACCGCAAACCGACACAGGUAGUCAAGAUGAGAAUUCUAAGGUGAGCGAGCGAACUCUCGUUAAGGAACUCGGCAAAAUGACCCCGUAACUUCGGGAGAAGGGGUGCUCUUUAGGGUUAACGCCCAGAAGAGCCGCAGUGAAUAGGCCCAAGCGACUGUUUAUCAAAAACACAGGUCUCUGCUAAACCGUAAGGUGAUGUAUAGGGGCUGACGCCUGCCCGGUGCUGGAAGGUUAAGAGGAGUGGUUAGCUUCUGCGAAGCUACGAAUCGAAGCCCCAGUAAACGGCGGCCGUAACUAUAACGGUCCUAAGGUAGCGAAAUUCCUUGUCGGGUAAGUUCCGACCCGCACGAAAGGCGUAACGAUUUGGGCACUGUCUCAACGAGAGACUCGGUGAAAUCAUAGUACCUGUGAAGAUGCAGGUUACCCGCGACAGGACGGAAAGACCCCGUGGAGCUUUACUGUAGCCUGAUAUUGAAAUUCGGCACAGCUUGUACAGGAUAGGUAGGAGCCUUUGAAACGUGAGCGCUAGCUUACGUGGAGGCGCUGGUGGGAUACUACCCUAGCUGUGUUGGCUUUCUAACCCGCACCACUUAUCGUGGUGGGAGACAGUGUCAGGCGGGCAGUUUGACUGGGGCGGUCGCCUCCUAAAAGGUAACGGAGGCGCUCAAAGGUUCCCUCAGAAUGGUUGGAAAUCAUUCAUAGAGUGUAAAGGCAUAAGGGAGCUUGACUGCGAGACCUACAAGUCGAGCAGGGUCGAAAGACGGACUUAGUGAUCCGGUGGUUCCGCAUGGAAGGGCCAUCGCUCAACGGAUAAAAGCUACCCCGGGGAUAACAGGCUUAUCUCCCCCAAGAGUUCACAUCGACGGGGAGGUUUGGCACCUCGAUGUCGGCUCAUCGCAUCCUGGGGCUGUAGUCGGUCCCAAGGGUUGGGCUGUUCGCCCAUUAAAGCGGUACGCGAGCUGGGUUCAGAACGUCGUGAGACAGUUCGGUCCCUAUCCGUCGUGGGCGUAGGAAAUUUGAGAGGAGCUGUCCUUAGUACGAGAGGACCGGGAUGGACAUACCUCUGGUGUACCAGUUGUCGUGCCAACGGCAUAGCUGGGUAGCUAUGUGUGGACGGGAUAAGUGCUGAAAGCAUCUAAGCAUGAAGCCCCCCUCAAGAUGAGAUUUCCCAACUUCGGUUAUAAGAUCCCUCAAAGAUGAUGAGGUUAAUAGGUUCGAGGUGGAAGCAUGGUGACAUGUGGAGCUGACGAAUACUAAUCGAUCGAAGACUUAAUC